UUUAAAGAAUUCUUGAAUAGAGAGUGAGAGAAGUUUGUUACUAAAUAUUUAGGACUUUUCAUUGAAUUAUUUUUAAACAAAUAAUUAUUAGUUUUGUAAUGAAAAAUUUGAUUUCCUUCCUAUUUUAGGGUGACGCGUAAUGUUGUACGAAAAUCUCAAUCCGUCAGUAAGGUGAAAAAGGAAGGUCAAGAGCAGAAGCCGGAGCAAUAGAAGCAGCAAGUUGAGGAAGGUGGUGAACCCAAUAAGGUGGAGAAAGCUGCUCAGGAGACAGUUGAAACGCCUUCUAUGCCGGAGACGCAGGAAGAGAAGAAGCCAGAAUCGACCACAGAUGCCAGUUGUGAAGAAAGCAACAACGGUGCACCGUGUGCGUGAAUAGAUGCAUGAAUUUUCACGUGGGUACCACCACGUGAAAGGGUGACGCGUAAUGCUGUACGAAAAUCUCAAUCCGUCAGUAAGGUGAAAAAGGAAGGUCAAGAGCAGAAGCCGGAGCAAUAGAAGCAGCAAGUUGAGGAAGGUGGUGAACCCAAUAAGGUGGAGAAAGCUGCUCAGGAGACAGUUGAAACGCCUUCUAUGCCGGAGACGCAGGAAGAGAAGAAGCCAGAAUCGACCACAGAUGCCAGUUGUGAAGAAAGCAACAACGGUGCACCGUGUGCGUGAAUAGAUGCAUGAAUUUUCACGUGGGUACCACCACGUGAAAGGGUGACGCGUAAUGCUGUACGAAAAUCUCAAUCCGUCAGUAAGGUGAAAAAGGAAGGUCAAGAGCAGAAGCCGGAGCAAUAGAAGCAGCAAGUUGAGGAAGGUGGUGAACCCAAUAAGGUGGAGAAAGCUGCUCAGGAGACAGUUGAAACGCCUUCUAUGCCGGAGACGCAGGAAGAGAAGAAGCCAGAAUCGACCACAGAUGCCAGUUGUGAAGAAAGCAACAACGGUGCACCGUGUGCGUGAAUAGAUGCAUGAAUUUUCACGUGGGUACCACCACGUGAAAGGGUGACGCGUAAUGCUGUACGAAAAUCUCAAUCCGUCAGUAAGGUGAAAAAGGAAGGUCAAGAGCAGAAGCCGGAGCAACAGAAGCAGCAAGUUGAGGAAGGUGGUGAACCCAAUAAGGUGGAGAAAGCUGCUCAGGAGACAGUUGAAACGCCUUCUAUGCCGGAGACGCAGGAAGAGAAGAAGCCAGAAUCGACCACAGAUGCCAGUUGUGAAGGAAGCAACAACGGUGAAGGUGCAAACAGGUGUCUUUCACUGUGUUAUCACGAGAAUGGCAACGACAAUUGAAGAGAACCUCCAGGAAGACAAUUUUCUAUACCAUCGUGUGAGGGAUGUCAACAUUCGAUGUGACCUUGCGGAACACAAUUUCGGCAUGACAAAGUUGCAGGACAUCUAGAGGAAGGAGCAACGAGGUGGUAUUAAAGAUGCCAUUGCAGGGCAGCGGAAACUCAAGGAGGAUGACAAGAAGGAAUUAACGGAUCUCCUUGAUUGUCAUUUCUGAUCCGGAGAAGCAGCCAAUUAAGUCAGUGUCCCGGAAGACAAACAAGAGACGCUUCCUGAGCAGAUAAACUUUGAGGAUUUCACGGUGACGCGUAAUGCUGUACGAAAAUCUCAAUCCGUCAGUAAGGUGAAAAAGGAAGGUCAAGAGCAGAAGCCGGAGCAACAGAAGCAGCAAGUUGAGGAAGGUGGUGAACCCAAUAAGGUGGAGAAAGCUGCUCAGGAGACAGUUGAAACGCCUUCUAUGCCGGAGACGCAGGAAGAGAAGAAGCCAGAAUCGACCACAG
Long non-coding RNA from Lutzomyia longipalpis, 1766 nucleotides. RefSeq lists it as uncharacterized. The record is from RefSeq and is a predicted model, not a curated record. NCBI's taxonomy places the organism in Eukaryota, Metazoa, Arthropoda, Insecta, Diptera, Psychodidae. The transcript is spliced from 5 exons.